GUGGUUAAGACACCAGGCUAGUAACCUGAAGGUCAAUGGUUCGAGCCUGG
This 50-nucleotide transfer RNA is filed under the name Oxyrrhis marina. Its description in RNAcentral is "partial tRNA". The record is from RNAcentral. Lineage: Eukaryota; Dinophyceae; Oxyrrhinales; Oxyrrhinaceae.